UUGCACGCUGGCGGCAGGCCUAACACAUGCCAGUCGAGCGGAUGAAGGGAGCUUGCUCCUGGAUUCAGCGGCGGACGGGUGAGUAAUGCCUAGUAAUCUGCCUGGUAGUGGGGGAUAACGUCCGGAAACGGGCGCUAAUACCGCAUACGUCCUGAGGGAGAAAGUGGGGGAUCUUCGGACCUCACGCUCUCAGAUGAGCCUAGGUCGGAUUAGCUAGUUGGUGGGGUAAAGGCCUACCAAGGCGACGAUCCGUAACUGGUCUGAGAGGAUGAUCAGUCACACUGGAACUGAGACACGGUCCAGACUCCUACGGGAGGCAGCAGUGGGGAAUAUUGGACAAUGGGCGAAAGCCUGAUCCAGCCAUGCCGCGUGUGUGAAGAAGGUCUUCGGAUUGUAAAGCACUUUAAGUGGGGAGGAAGGGCAGUAAGUUAAUACCUUGCUGUUUUGACGUUACCAACAGAAUAAGCACCGGCUAACUUCGUG
This 483-nucleotide ribosomal RNA is filed under the name uncultured bacterium. RNAcentral describes it as "partial 16S ribosomal RNA". It matches the Rfam family "Bacterial small subunit ribosomal RNA", at positions 30 to 507 of the family's 1533-position model. The record is from RNAcentral.